Molecule: ribosomal RNA, 294 nt
Filed under: uncultured soil bacterium
Lineage: Bacteria
Description: partial 16S ribosomal RNA
Rfam family: Bacterial small subunit ribosomal RNA
Source: RNAcentral
AGAUUGAACGCUGGCGGCAUGCUUUACACAUGCAAGUCGAACGGUAACAGGCCGCAAGGUGCUGACGAGUGGCGAACGGGUGAGUAAUGCAUCGGAACGUGCCCAGUCGUGGGGGGAUAACGGCAGCGAAAGCUGUGCUAAUACCGCAUACGAUCUAAUGGAUGAAAGCGGGGGACCGAAAGGCCUCGCGCGAUUGGAGCGGCCGAUGUCAGAUUAGCUAGUUGGUGGGGUAAAGGCCCACCAAGGCGACGAUCUGUAGCUGGUCUGAGAGGACGACCAGCCACACUGGAACUG